CUGAGAAACCGAARGGUCGAAUGGGGAAAUUCAUUCGCGUUUCGAUUGUCGGCGUCGAGCGGUUGCGUGACUGACGGAGUACGCUUCGUUAGCACCUUCAGUUCGUCGAACCGACUUCGAACGCGUGCACUUUUCCCCUAGUAGGACGUCGCGAUCCGUUGGGUGUCGGUCUAAGGCCUGCGGUGGAGCUCGCGCGGACGUUUCGGCGUCUGCACGAACCCGCAGUGUCCCGAUCGACUCGCUCGACGGUAUAAAGAUGGCGCGGGGCCGCUACACAGUUAGCGUUCGGCCUACGGCAAGCACGUACGGUGUACGACGGCGAUCAGACCUGGUCGGAUCCCGUCCCCGGACGACUGUUGGCUCGUAGUGUUCUCGAACAGACCUCGUUGAAACGCCGAUCUGCGACGCUAUAGCUUUGGGUACUUUCAGGACCCGUCUUGAAACACGAC
Molecule: ribosomal RNA, 449 nt
Filed under: Charidotis aurofasciata
Lineage: Eukaryota; Metazoa; Arthropoda; Insecta; Coleoptera; Chrysomelidae
Description: eukaryotic LSU rRNA
Source: RNAcentral